CCCCAGGUGGUCUAGUGGUACGAUACUCAUCUUUCAUUCUGAGUUGACAUGGGUGACCGGGGUUCGAUUCCUCGUCUGGGAC
This is a non-coding RNA of Mycena capillaripes, 82 nucleotides long. Lineage: Eukaryota; Fungi; Basidiomycota; Agaricomycetes; Agaricales; Mycenaceae. The record is from the annotation of a GenBank genome assembly.